AUUGAACGCUGGCGGAAUGCUUUACACAUGCAAGUCGAACGGCAGCACGGACUUCGGUCUGGUGGCGGGUGGCGAACGGGUGAGUAAUAUAUCGGAACGUAUCCAAUAAUGGGGGAUAACUAAUCGAAAGGUUGGCUAAUACCGCAUACGUCCUACGGGAGAAAGCUAGGGACCUUCGGGCCUGGCGUUAAUGGAGCGGCCGAUAUCGGAUUAGCUAGUUGGUGAGGUAAAGGCUCACCAAGGCGACGAUCCGUAGCUGGUCUGAGAGGACGACCAGCCACACUGGAACUGAGACACGGUCCAGACUCCUACGGGAGGCAGCAGUGGGGAAUUUUGGACAAUGGGCGAAAGCCUGAUCCAGCCAUUCCGCGUGAGUGAAGAAGGCCUUCGGGUUGUAAAGCUCUUUCGCAAGAGAAGAAAACUUACCCUCUAACAUAGGGUGAGGUUGACGGUAUCUUGAUAAGAAGCACCGGCUAACUACGUGCCAGCAGCCGCCGUAA
Molecule: ribosomal RNA, 500 nt
Filed under: uncultured bacterium
Lineage: Bacteria
Description: partial 16S ribosomal RNA
Rfam family: Bacterial small subunit ribosomal RNA
Source: RNAcentral